This 482-nucleotide ribosomal RNA is filed under the name uncultured bacterium. RNAcentral's name for it is "partial 16S ribosomal RNA". It matches the Rfam family "Bacterial small subunit ribosomal RNA", at positions 30 to 507 of the family's 1533-position model. The record is from RNAcentral.
AUUGAACGCUGGCGGCAUGCCUUACACAUGCAAGUCGAACGGUAACAGGUCUUCGGAUGCUGACGAGUGGCGAACGGGUGAGUAAUAUAUCGGAACGUGCCCGAUCGUGGGGGAUAACGAAGCGAAAGCUUUGCUAAUACCGCAUACGAUCUACGGAUGAAAGCGGGGGAUCUUCGGACCUCGCGCGGACGGAGCGGCCGAUGGCAGAUUAGGUAGUUGGUGGGAUAAAAGCUUACCAAGCCGACGAUCUGUAGCUGGUCUGAGAGGAUGAUCAGCCACACUGGGACUGAGACACGGCCCAGACUCCUACGGGAGGCAGCAGUGGGGAAUUUUGGACAAUGGGCGCAAGCCUGAUCCAGCCAUGCCGCGUGCAGGAUGAAGGCCUUCGGGUUGUAAACUGCUUUUGUACGGAACGAAAAGGUGCCUUCUAAUAAAGGGCGCUCAUGACGGUACCGUAAGAAUAAGCACCGGCUAACUACGUG